UACGUAGGGGGCAAGUGUUGUCCGGAAUCAUUGGGCGUAAAGCGCGUGUAGGCGGCCAGGUAAGUCCGUUCUGAAAGCCCGGGGCUCAACCCCGGGAGGCGGAUGGAUACUGCUUGGCUCGAGUCCGGAAGAGGCGAGUGGAAUUCCCGGUGUAGCGGUGAAAUGCGCAGAUAUCGGGAGGAACACCGGUGGCGAAGGCGGUUCUCUGGGCCUUACCUGACGCUGAGGAGCGAAAGCGUGGGGAGCGAACAGG
Molecule: ribosomal RNA, 253 nt
Filed under: uncultured prokaryote
Description: partial 16S ribosomal RNA
Rfam family: Bacterial small subunit ribosomal RNA
Source: RNAcentral